Ananas comosus (pineapple) is the source of this 769-nucleotide long non-coding RNA. RefSeq lists it as uncharacterized. The record is from RefSeq and is a predicted model, not a curated record. Lineage: Eukaryota; Viridiplantae; Streptophyta; Magnoliopsida; Poales; Bromeliaceae. The transcript has 2 exons.
CGCGCGCUCUCUCUCUCUCUCUCUCUCUCUCUCUCUCUCUCUCUCUCUCUCUCUCUCUCUCUCUCUACGAACCCUACCGUUCCCCCUCUUCCUCCAAAUUCCACUCCCUAAUCCUCCAAAUCCUUACUACCUGUUCCCCCAAAUUUCAUCUUCUAACCCUCAAAUCGAAGCCAUUUCGGAGAUCCACAGUGCAAUUUUGGAGAUCCAAUUUAGGAAAUCUGCAGUGCAAUUUUGGAGAUCCGCGAUGCAAUCAAAGGUGAUCCCGAGCUCCCCACCAAGUAUGAAGUUCGGUUAAUUUUUCGGCAGGAAAGUGCAUAAUCGCAUUCUGAGAGAGCACAUCAGCAACAACUGCCAGUUCUAAAGAGAUUUAACUUCUGGAGUCCAAAGCCCUAACCUGCAUCCUCCGAGAAUAUUGACAUCCUGUAACCAUGCCGAUUGCACGCGAAGCAAAAACAGCAUUUACUUUUAAGAUGCAUAUAUGAGUUCCAAAAAGCAAGCAAAAUUUCAAAAUCGCUGAAGAAUAUGUGCAUCACCUUUUCUAUAUUGUCCAGCAUAAUGUUUUUUACUUCUGCAACUUGAGUUUUCACUUUUAGCAGCUUCUCUAUCUCAUCUGCGUGCUCGAUAAUGUACCGCAUGUGCUCCUUCAUAACUGGGCUGCAUCAAAAGAUUGACGAUAAUCAUAAAAACUGAAGAGGUAAGGAUGAUUCUUCAAGGUUUUUUUUUUUUUGUUUUUUUUAAAAAAGGUAAUAUGAAGACAAAAGUUGAAGGA